AGCGGGGUAGGGGAGCCUGGAGUUCCCGCUGGAUUUCUGACCCAGAGAUCGGUGGUUCAAAUCCACCCCCCGCUA
Molecule: transfer RNA, 75 nt
Filed under: Microcaldota archaeon
Lineage: Archaea; Nanobdellati; Microcaldota
Description: tRNA-Arg
Rfam family: tRNA
About the family: Transfer RNA (tRNA) molecules are approximately 80 nucleotides in length.
Source: RNAcentral